Lycium barbarum (goji berry) is the source of this 1658-nucleotide long non-coding RNA. RefSeq lists it as uncharacterized. The transcript has 2 exons. The record is from RefSeq and is a predicted model, not a curated record. Lineage: Eukaryota; Viridiplantae; Streptophyta; Magnoliopsida; Solanales; Solanaceae.
GAACUUGCUGUUGAUGUUGUUUAUGAUCAUAUGAAGGUCUCCUCUUCCGGAGUCUGUGAGGUCUAUUAUUGAGGAGGGAAUCAAUCUGUACAAGCUUCAUACAAACAAGCAUGGCAGGUCAGUGUAACAUUCAGCAAAUGUAGUUCAUGAUUUCCUCCAAACCCUCUCCUCUUUUUGCACUUGAGUUAAUAGUGUUCUUGGUAAGAAGCAGCAUUAUGCCUUCCGAUAUGUUGCACGAUGUGGAGCUAUCUCGCUUUUACAUCCUCAGCUAAAAAAUUAUUUUCAAUAUAGUAGUUUUUGUUGAAGCAAUUAUGAAUUGAAUUUGAGGUUUCCACUUUCUCCAGAAUGCUUUAUUAAACGUAUGGAUAUUAUGUGUGAAUCUUUCUUCCAUCUUCUUCAUCUAGGAAGCUUCGAUUCUCAUUUCUUUGUGAUGAUUGAGUUGCAUUAUGAUGCAAAGAGGUCUUGAUAUUUAAUGGUUAACUGUGAAUACUUCUUCAUUGAUUUCCAGUGUCUUGACUCUACUAUUUUUGAGCAUGAUUUGGAGCUAUGAAACUCCUUUUAACACUUUAAUAUAUAAUUCUGCUCUUGUUGUGUUGCUUUGCCUAAUAAUAACUUUGUAUAUCCACAUGCAUGUUGUGUCCUAAAUUAACUGCAAUACGACUAUGAAAACCUGCAUUAGAGCACCAGAUAGGCAGCGAUGAAGAAAAAUGGCCACCAUAACUUAUAUUGGACCACCUGAUCCAAAGGUAUAAUGACUCAUACUCCACUACUCAAUUCUUUCAACCUUCUUUCUUUUUUUUUUUUUUUUUUUUUUACUUAAAAGUCAUUUUAGUUUUACCAAUAACUUUAUCCCUUAUAUUUUUUUAUUAAUUUUAAUACAAUCAUUAUUUCUACAAAUCCUUUAACCACUUUUAUCUAAAUAAUAAUUCCUUCUUUAUAAAAUAAUUUUUAACCCUUAAAACUGCUUUGAGCACUUGCCCUUAAGAACCACUUUUUUCCGGCUAUCGGGCUAAUGUUCUGCUUGAAUAGCAACACCAUCGCAGUAAUUGGAUUUGUUGGCUUGACCAUAAGCGCAGUAAUCAAGCAUGGCCCAAAAUAGCAGGAGAAGACCAAACAUCCUAAUUACAGGAACACCUGGUACCGGGAAAACAACAACAUCGUCAGCACUAGCAGAGACAACACAACUCCGACACAUAAACAUCGGGGAACUUGUUAAAGACAAAAAAUUGCACGAUGGAUGGGACGAUACUUUAGACUGUUACAUCAUCAAUGAAGACCUCGGAAACCACAUUUAGCAGUAUUUUCUCUGAUUUCUGCAGAUAAAAUGUGAUGAGGAUUCAGAGAGAAGAACUCAAAAAAUUGUCUGGAGGGGAAUUCAUCAGCCACCAAGCUGUCCCACAAAUGCUUGUAGCACAUUAGCUGAAGCCUGUCAAAGAAGGGAUCACCAGUUCAUCACAUUUGUACCCGUAAGUACAUUUAGAAUAGGAAGGAUCUCUCUUCAUCUGAGAGAUGCACCAUAUUAAAAUUUAUUUACUAGUCAACAUCAAGUGCAAAACUAUACCUUCCGUUUCUCCGUUGUGGUUCAGCAGGAAGGCUAGCUCUCACUCGUGUUUUUGUGUCAACUAACAUUGGAUAUGCAUCACUUUGUCCUUUUGGCA